AGAUUGAACGCUGGCGGCAGGCCUAACACAUGCAAGUCGAGCGGCAGCACGGGUACUUGUACCUGGUGGCGAGCGGCGGACGGGUGAGUAAUGCCUAGGAAUCUGCCUGGUAGUGGGGGAUAACGCUCGGAAACGGACGCUAAUACCGCAUACGUCCUACGGGAGAAAGCAGGGGACCUUCGGGCCUUGCGCUAUCAGAUGAGCCUAGGUCGGAUUAGCUAGUUGGUGAGGUAAUGGCUCACCAAGGCGACGAUCCGUAACUGGUCUGAGAGGAUGAUCAGUCACACUGGAACUGAGACACGGUCCAGACUCCUACGGGAGGCAGCAGUGGGAAUAUUGGACAAUGGGCGAAAGCCUGAUCCAGCCAUGCCGCGUGUGUGAAGAAGGUCUUCGGAUUGUAAAGCACUUUAAGUUGGAGAAGGCAGUUACCUAAUACGUAUCUGUUUUGACGUUACCGACAGAAUAAGCACCGGCUAACUCUGUG
RNAcentral lists this ribosomal RNA (484 nucleotides) under uncultured soil bacterium. RNAcentral describes it as "bacterial SSU rRNA". It matches the Rfam family "Bacterial small subunit ribosomal RNA", at positions 26 to 507 of the family's 1533-position model. The record is from RNAcentral.